UACGUAGGGUGCGAGCGUUAAUCGGAAUUACUGGGCGUAAAGCGUGCGCAGGCGGUUCGUUGUGUCGGCGGUGAAAGCCCCGGGCUUAACCUGGGAAUGGCCGUCGAAACUGGCGAACUGGAGUGUGGCAGAGGGGGGGUGGAAUUCCGCGUGUAGCAGUGAAAUGCGUAGAGAUGCGGAGGAACACCGAUGGCGAAGGCAGCCCCCUGGGCUGACACUGACGCUCAGGCACGAAAGCGUGGGGAGCAAACAGG
RNAcentral lists this ribosomal RNA (254 nucleotides) under uncultured bacterium. Its description in RNAcentral is "partial 16S ribosomal RNA". It matches the Rfam family "Bacterial small subunit ribosomal RNA", at positions 524 to 776 of the family's 1533-position model. The record is from RNAcentral.